GAGAAUUUCCAGGCCAAAUAAUGUCACAUGUUCUCUUAAUCUCAGUUAUUUUCCUUUUUUCUAAACAUGAUUAUGUAGCGUUGGAUUGAUAAAAGCAAUGAAUAUGUUCUACUAAAUUUCAUUGUUCUUUGUUGUUCAUGUGUUUAUGUUGAGUGAUCAAUUGAUGCAUUGAUUUUAAAGUGAAAGCAUGGACCUCAAAGUCCCACUGUGCUGUGGUUACUUAAUAGAUGUUAAAAAAAAGUGCUUAACAACCUAGUCUGACUGGUGACAUGUAUACUGUUGCCAUUUCUUUCAGGCACUUGGCAGAUUAAAUAUGAUACUGGAUGCUACCAGCAAGCUUCAGAUCAAUUAGAAAUCAGAUCAUCUGGAAAGGAUAUCUUUUGACAUGUGAAUAUGUGCAGUUUCUGCAUUCUUUUUACUGAUACUGGCCUGUGAUUAUUUCUAGUAAUUUUUAUUUCAGAUUUCAAGAAUCUGCAGUUUUGCUUAGAGUGUGGUUAAUUGUGCUUUUGAAUGCCAUUAAAAACAUGCCAAAAUGUAAACUUUAA
Long non-coding RNA from Amblyraja radiata (thorny skate), 545 nucleotides. RefSeq lists it as uncharacterized. NCBI's taxonomy places the organism in Eukaryota, Metazoa, Chordata, Chondrichthyes, Rajiformes, Rajidae. The transcript has 2 exons. The record is from RefSeq and is a predicted model, not a curated record.